UGCCGCGUGCAGGAUGAAGGCCUUCGGGUUGUAAACUGCUUUUGUACGGAACGAAACGGCGAGCUCUAAUACAGUUUGCUAAUGACGGUACCGUAAGAAUAAGCACCGGCUAACUACGUGCCAGCAGCCGCGGUAAUACGUAGGGUGCGAGCGUUAAUCGGAAUUACUGGGCGUAAAGCGUGCGCAGGCGGUGAUGUAAGACAGAUGUGAAAUCCCCGGGCUCAACCUGGGACCUGCAUUUGUGACUGCAUCGCUAGAGUACGGCAGAGGCCCAUGGAAUUCCCCGUGUAGCAAUGAAAUGCGUAGAUAUGCGGAGGAACACCGAUGGCGAANGC
Molecule: ribosomal RNA, 335 nt
Filed under: Comamonadaceae bacterium
Lineage: Bacteria; Pseudomonadati; Pseudomonadota; Betaproteobacteria; Burkholderiales; Comamonadaceae
Description: bacterial SSU rRNA
Rfam family: Bacterial small subunit ribosomal RNA
Source: RNAcentral